Molecule: ribosomal RNA, 440 nt
Filed under: uncultured bacterium
Lineage: Bacteria
Description: partial 16S ribosomal RNA
Rfam family: Bacterial small subunit ribosomal RNA
Source: RNAcentral
CCUACGGGAGGCAGCCGUGGGGAAUAUUGCACAAUGGGGGAAACCCUGAUGCAGCGACGCCGCGUGAGUGAAGAAGUAUUUCGGUACGUAAAGCUCUAUCAGCAGGGAAGAAAAUGACGGUACCUGACUAAGAAGCCCCGGCUAACUACGUGCCAGCAGCCGCGGUAAUACGUAGGGGGCAAGCGUUAUCCGGAUUUACUGGGUGUAAAGGGAGCGUAGACGGCAGCGCAAGUCUGGAGUGAAAUCCCAUGGCUUAACCAUGGAACUGCUUUGGAAACUGUGCAGCUAGAGUGCAGGAGAGGUAAGCGGAAUUCCUAGUGUAGCGGUGAAAUGCGUAGAUAUUAGGAGGAACACCAGUGGCGAAGGCGGCUUACUGGACUGUAACUGACGUUGAGGCUCGAAAGCGUGGGGAGCAAACAGGAUUAGAUACCCCUGUAGUC